AGCAGUAGCCACGGUAAUACAGAGGGUGCGAGCGUUAAUCGGAUUUACUGGGCGUAAAGCGUGCGUAGGCGGCUAAUUGAGUCGGAUGUGAAAUCCCCGAGCUUAACUUGGGAAUUGCAUUCGAUACUGGUUAGCUAGAGUGUGGGAGAGGAUGGUAGAAUUCCAGGUGUAGCGGUGAAAUGCGUAGAGAUCUGGAGGAAUACCGAUGGCGAAGGCAGCCAUCUGGCCUAACACUGACGCUGAGGUACGAAAGCAUGGGGAGCAAACAGGAUUAGAUACCCCGGUAGUCCCUGUCUCUUAUAC
This 303-nucleotide ribosomal RNA is filed under the name uncultured bacterium. RNAcentral describes it as "partial 16S ribosomal RNA". It matches the Rfam family "Bacterial small subunit ribosomal RNA", at positions 507 to 807 of the family's 1533-position model. The record is from RNAcentral.